This 26-nucleotide non-coding RNA is filed under the name Mus musculus (house mouse). The record is from RNAcentral. Lineage: Eukaryota; Metazoa; Chordata; Mammalia; Rodentia; Muridae.
UAAAAAAUUGGGUGGGAUUAAUAUUA